Molecule: ribosomal RNA, 415 nt
Filed under: uncultured soil bacterium
Lineage: Bacteria
Description: bacterial SSU rRNA
Rfam family: Bacterial small subunit ribosomal RNA
Source: RNAcentral
AGAUUGAACGCUGGCGGCAUGCCUAACACAUGCAAGUCGAACGGGAGUAGCAAUACUCUAGUGGCGGACGGGUGAGGAAUACGUAGGAAUUUGCCCUUAAGUGGGGGAUAACCCGGGGAAACCCGGAUUAAUACCGCAUGACCUCGAAAGAGCAAAGUGGGGGAUCGCAAGACCUCACGCUUUUGGAGAAGCCUACGUCGGAUUAGCUAGUUGGUGAGGUAAUGGCUCACCAAGGCGACGAUCCGUAACUGGUCUGAGAGGAUGAUCAGUCACACCGGAACUGAGACACGGUCCGGACUCCUACGGGAGGCAGCAGUGGGGAAUAUUGGACAAUGGGCGCAAGCCUGAUCCAGCAAUGCCGCGUGUGUGAAGAAGGCCUUCGGGUUGUAAAGCACUUUAAGUUAGGGAAGAAAAA